ACAGAUCAAGUUUAAUGGAAUUUUAAUUUUGGGAAUUAAAGGGUUUUCUGUA
This 52-nucleotide transfer RNA is filed under the name Pseudogarypus banksi. RNAcentral's name for it is "tRNA-Pro". The record is from RNAcentral. Lineage: Eukaryota; Metazoa; Arthropoda; Arachnida; Pseudoscorpiones; Pseudogarypidae.